GCGCCAGACUCCUACGGGAGGCAGCAGUGAGGAAUAUUGGUCAAUGGCCGGAAGGCUGAACCAGCCAAGCCGCGUGAAGGACGAAGGUGCCAAGCAUUGUAAACUUCUUUUGUCAAGGGACAAAAUCAGGCUCGAGAGCCUGACCGAGGGUACUUGAAGAAAAAGCAUCGGCUAACUCCGUGCCAGCAGCCGCGGUAAUACGGAGGAUGCGAGCGUUAUCCGGAUUUAUUGGGUUUAAAGGGUGCGCAGGCGGCGUAUAAAGAGGGGGGAAAAGGCCGGGGGCUCAACCCGGGCGAGCCGUUGAAACUGGCGGGCUGGAGUUGGAGAGAAGUACGCGGAAUGCGCGGUGUAGCGGUGAAAUGCUUAGAUAUCGCGCAGAACCCCGAUUGCGAAGGCAGCGUACCGGCUCCACACUGACGCCGAGGCACGAAAGCGUGGGUAUCGAACAGGAUUAGAUACCCCAGUA
This 466-nucleotide ribosomal RNA is filed under the name uncultured bacterium. Its description in RNAcentral is "bacterial SSU rRNA". It matches the Rfam family "Bacterial small subunit ribosomal RNA", at positions 328 to 792 of the family's 1533-position model. The record is from RNAcentral.